GACAGAGGGUGCAAACGUUGUUCGGAAUUACUGGGCGUAAAGCGUGUGUAGGCGGCCACGUAAGUCGGAUGUGAAAGCCCCGGGCUCAACCCGGGAAGUGCACUCGAUACUGCGUGGCUUGAGUACUGGAGAGGUUGGUGGAAUUCUCGGUGUAGAGGUGAAAUUCGUAGAUAUUCGGAAGAACACCAGUGGCGAAGGCGGCAUACUGGCCCAUUACUGACGCUGAAGCUCGAAAGCGUGGGGAGCAAACAGG
This 253-nucleotide ribosomal RNA is filed under the name uncultured bacterium. RNAcentral describes it as "partial 16S ribosomal RNA". It matches the Rfam family "Bacterial small subunit ribosomal RNA", at positions 524 to 776 of the family's 1533-position model. The record is from RNAcentral.